UACGUAGGGGGCGAGCGUUGUCCGAAUUCACUGGGCGUAAAGCGCGCGUAGGCGGACUUUUAAGUUGUGGGUGAAAUGCCGAGGCUCAACCUCGGAACUGCCUGCAAAACUGGGAGUCUUGAGGUAUGGAGAGGGAAGUGGAAUUCCUGGUGUAGCGGUGAAAUGCGUAGAUAUCAGGAGGAACACCUGUGGCGAAGGCGGCUUCCUGGCCAUAUCCUGACGCUGAGGUGCGAAAGCCAGGGGAGCGAAC
This 250-nucleotide ribosomal RNA is filed under the name uncultured bacterium. RNAcentral describes it as "partial 16S ribosomal RNA". It matches the Rfam family "Bacterial small subunit ribosomal RNA", at positions 524 to 773 of the family's 1533-position model. The record is from RNAcentral.